UCCCAAACUGGGAUUAGAUACCCCACUAUGCUUAGCCAUAAACACAAAAAUUUAUACAACAAAAAUUUUCGCCUGAGAACUACUAGCCACAGCUUAAAACUCAAAGGACUUGGCGGUGCUUUAUACCCACCUAGAGGAGCCUGUUCUAUAAUCGAUAAACCCCGAUACACCUCACCACUUCUUGCUAAUACAGCCUAUAUACCGCCAUCUUCAGCAAACAA
Molecule: ribosomal RNA, 221 nt
Filed under: Kerodon rupestris (Rock cavy)
Lineage: Eukaryota; Metazoa; Chordata; Mammalia; Rodentia; Caviidae
Description: partial small subunit ribosomal RNA
Source: RNAcentral